UGCUAAUACCGGAUAACAACACUAGACGCAUGUCUAGNGUUUAAAAGAUGGUUCUGCUAUCACUCUUGGAUGGACCUGCGGUGCAUUAGCUAGUUGGUAAGGUAACGGCUUACCAAGGAAAUGAUGCAUAGCCGAGUUGAGAGACUGAUCGGCCACAUUGGGACUGAGACACGGUCCAAACUCCUACGGGAGGCAGCAGAC
Molecule: ribosomal RNA, 201 nt
Filed under: uncultured bacterium
Lineage: Bacteria
Description: partial 16S ribosomal RNA
Rfam family: Bacterial small subunit ribosomal RNA
Source: RNAcentral